This 480-nucleotide long non-coding RNA is filed under the name Homo sapiens (human). RNAcentral's name for it is "HSALNT0314800". The record is from RNAcentral. Lineage: Eukaryota; Metazoa; Chordata; Mammalia; Primates; Hominidae.
AGAGGUUACGAAACCAACCAAGCAAGGCAAGUCGGCCAUCAGGCUCAGCCUCCCAUGAAGCGCUCCUGACUUCCCACCCUUCCUCCAGGCCAGGAGUCUGCCAAUCACAAUCUGGGUUCUGUUUUCCCGCCUUUCCUGGCAGCACAAACCACGGCUCCGGAUGGUGAGCAAUGCAAGUUCCAGGCAUGCCUUGCUGCAUUACUGGGUUCCCAGGUGUCACUUCAUCCAGAGGGGAGGAGGCCUCGCCACCAUGCCCAGAGCAGCACAGUGAGUCAGAGAUGAAGCUCUUGUCCCACCUGCCCCAACCCUCGAGCCCUGCUUCCCAGGUCCGCAUUCCCAGGCAGCCUGCCACAGCCAGUGCCAGCGAGAGAGUGGAUCAGGCUUCAGGAUAGCCCAGCACUGAGGACAUCUAAAACAGUCUUCAUUUAUUUAUUUAUUGUUCAUAGUGUCCAAAAGUUGGAAUUAAAGUGAAUGGCUGAA